This 64-nucleotide transfer RNA is filed under the name Bhutanitis thaidina. Its description in RNAcentral is "tRNA-His". Lineage: Eukaryota; Metazoa; Arthropoda; Insecta; Lepidoptera; Papilionidae. The record is from RNAcentral.
AUUUAAAUAAUUUAAAUAAAAUAUUGAUUUGUGGGAUCAAAAAUAUGAAAAUUCAUUUUAAAUU